Molecule: ribosomal RNA, 1161 nt
Filed under: Achatinella mustelina
Lineage: Eukaryota; Metazoa; Mollusca; Gastropoda; Stylommatophora; Achatinellidae
Description: 16S ribosomal RNA
Source: RNAcentral
UAUUAAUUAUAAAAAUUUUUAAUAAAUUAAAAAGGGUUUUAAAUUAAUAAAAAGGUUAUUUUAAAAAAAAUUUUUAUAAAUAAAUUUUACCUUUUGCAUAAUGGUUAAAUUAUAAUAUUUUAAAUUUUUAUAGUCCCGAAAAAAAAUGAUCAAUAAAAUAUAAAAAUUUAUCUUAGAAAAAAGAAAGAUUGUAGUAUAAAUCUAUAAAAAUUUUACUAUAGGAGUGAAAGGCUUAUUCAAAUUUUUUUAUAUCUGGAUUAAAGGGAAAUGUAUUUAGUACAAAAAAUUAUAAAUAAAUAGUGAUAAGAUUAUUUAUAGUUAAGAAAAAUUAAAUAAUAUUAAUAACAAAAAAUUAUAUAAUAGAUUUAAAAUUUAUGAAAAACAUAAAAAUUACUGUGAAAAAUUUUCUUUUAUUAUACCUUUUUAUUUUAAUAAAUUUUUUUUGAAAAUAAUUAUGUUUAAAUAAGUAUAAAUUUUAUAAUAAAAAACUUAUAAGGAACUCGGCAAAAUUUUAUUAUUUUUAACUGUUUAACAAAAACAUAGCUUGUUGAAUUUAAAUAAUAAGUUAUUUCUGCCCUGUGAUUUUAAAAUAAAUUUUAACGGCCGCAGUACUUUGACUGUGCAAAGGUAGCAAAAUAAAUAGGCUUUUAAUUGAAGUCGAGAAUGAAAGGAAAAAUUAAAAUAAACUGUCUUAAAAGUUUUUUUUAAAAAUUGCUAAUAUGGUGAAAAUUCCAUAAUAAAAUUUUAAUAGACGAGAAGACCCUAUGAAUUAUUAUUAAAAAUUUUUAUAAAAUUUUAAAUUUUUGUUGGGGCAACAGGAAAAAAGAGAAAAAAUUUUCUAUUAUUAUAAUUUUAUAUUUGAAGUUCUUACUAUAAAUGAAUUUAAUUACCUUAGGGAUAACAGCAUAAUUAUUUUUAUAGAUUAUGACCUCGAUGUUGGACUAAGAAAUAAUAUAAUUAACAAUUAUAUUAUAAGGUUCUGUUCGAACCAAAUUUUCUUACAUGAUCUGAGUUCAGACCGGCGUAAGCCAGGUCAGUUUCUAUCUUUUAAUAAUGUUUUUAUUAGUACGAAAGGACCAUAAUAACAAAAUAAAAAGUUUUUUUAGUUUAGCAAAAAAAUGCAAGUGAUUUAGAGUCAAAAGAUAACUUUUAAAAAGUAAU